GUGACUCAGAAGAGGCACCCGAACAUAUGCACCGCUGAAGGUCGCGCCGAACAGUGGAGAGAGGGUCGGCGGACAGACGGGAAGUGACGCCUAGCUGUGCGCGGUUGCCCGAAGUACCCGGAGGUCGCCAUAACGUGUCCCGUACUGCGGUGGCUUCUCGCUUUACAAGCGCCUGCGUCGUCAUGGAAACAGAGGAGUGUACCUGUGGCAAUUGCAGGCUAAUGGAGACUGCAAUAUCCUGCGUGUGCUGCAAAGAGCAAUGUAGGGCUGAAGACAUAAUGCAAGAAGCUGGUUUGGAAUGCAUCACAGAACACAGACUUUUCCGAAAGCACUGCCUCGACAUAGACACGCUGAACUUGGAAGAAAUUAAGCUCCGGAACAGAGACCGUGGCUGCCUCCAAAACCGUAGAGGAAUGUGAAGAGGCACAUUGCAUACAGACAGUUCAUCUUCUGGGUGUAUCACAGGCUUGGAAAGGGAAACAGGGCUGUAGUUCCUAGCUGCGCAGUACUAAA
This is a long non-coding RNA of Ornithodoros turicata, 513 nucleotides long. RefSeq lists it as uncharacterized. The record is from RefSeq and is a predicted model, not a curated record. The transcript has 4 exons. Lineage: Eukaryota; Metazoa; Arthropoda; Arachnida; Ixodida; Argasidae.